GUUGUAUAGUCAAGUAAUUAAGUGCAUGUGGUGGAUGCCUUGGCAGUCAGAGGCGAUGAAAGACGUGAUAGCCUGCGAAAAGCUCCGGGGAGGCGGCAAAUAUCCUUUGAUCCGGAGAUGUCUGAAUGGGGGAACCCACCUACUUUAAGGUAGGUAUUGCAACAUGAAUACAUAGUGUUGCAAGGCGAACGAGGGGAAGUGAAACAUCUCAGUACCCUUAGGAAAAGAAAUCAAUUGAGAUUCCCUCAGUAGCGGCGAGCGAACGGGGAUCAGCCCAUUAAGUUAUGUGUGUUUUAGUGGAACGCUCUGGGAAGUGCGAACGUAGAGGGUGAUAUUCCCGUACACGAAAGGGCACACAUAAUGAUGACGAGUAGGGCGAGGCACGUGAAACCUUGUCUGAAUAUGGGGGACCAUCCUCCAAGGCUAAAUACUCCUGACUGACCGAUAGUGAACCAGUACCGUGAGGGAAAGGCGAAAAGAACCCCUGUGAGGGGAGUGAAAUAGAUCCUGAAACCGCAUGCAUACAAGCAGUGGGAGCACCUUCGUGGUGUGACUGCGUACCUUUUGUAUAAUGGGUCAGCGACUUAUAUUCAGUAGCGAGGUUAACCGUAUAGGGGAGCCGUAGAGAAAUCGAGUCUUAAUAGGGCGUUUAGUUGCUGGGUAUAGACCCGAAACCAGGCGAUCUAUCCAUGAGCAGGUUGAAGGUUGGGUAACACUAACUGGAGGACCGAACCCACUGUCGUUGAAAAGCCAGGGGAUGACUUGUGGAUAGGGGGUGAAAGGCUAAUCAAGCCUGGUGAUAGCUGGUUCUCCCCGAAAGCUAUUUAGGUAGCGCCUCGGACGAAUACCAUAGGGGGUAGAGCACUGUUUCGGCUAGGGGGUCAUCCCGACUUACCAAACCGAUGCAAACUCCGAAUACCUAUGAGUACUAUCCGGGAGACAGACUGCGGGUGCUAACGUCCGUAGUCAAGAGGAAAACAAUCCAGACCGCCAGCUAAGGCCCCAAAAUCAUAGUUAAGUGGGAAACGAUGUGGGAAGGCAUAGACAGCUAGGAGGUUGGCUUAGAAGCAGCCACCCUUUAAAGAAAGCGUAAUAGCUCACUAGUCGAGUCGGCCUGCGCGGAAGAUGUAACGGGGCUAAAACUAUGUGCCGAAGCUGCGGAUGUAUACUUUGUAUACGUGGUAGGGGAGCGUUCUGUAAGCCGAUGAAGGUGUGUUGAGAAGCAUGCUGGAGGUAUCAGAAGUGCGAAUGCUGACGUGAGUAACGACAAAACGGGUGAAAAACCCGUUCGCCGAAAGACCAAGGGUUCCAGUCCAACGUUAAUCGGGGCUGGGUGAGUCGACCCCUAAGGCGAGGCCGAAAGGCGUAGUCGAUGGGAAAAUGGUUAAUAUUCCAUUACUUCUGUGUAAUGCGAUGAGAGGACGGAGAAGGCUAAAUCAGCCUGGCGUUGGUUGUCCAGGUGAAAGGAUGUAGGCAUGUAUCUUAGGCAAAUCCGGGGUACUCUAUGCUGAGAUCUGAUAGCAAGCUGUACUUGUACAGCGAAGUGGUUGAUGCCAUGCUUCCAGGAAAAGUCUCUAAGCUUCAGUUACACAGGAAUCGUACCCGAAACCGACACAGGUGGUCAGGUCGAGUAGACCAAGGCGCUUGAGAGAACUCUGCUGAAGGAACUAGGCAAAAAUGGUACCGUAACUUCGGGAGAAGGUACGCUGUUGUUGGUGAUGGAACUCGCUUCCUGAGCUGACGACAGCCGCAGAAACCAGGCCGCUGCAACUGUUUAUUAAAAACAUAGCACUCUGCAAACACGAAAGUGGACGUAUAGGGUGUGAUGCCUGCCCGGUGCUGGAAGGUUAAUUGAUGGGGUUAGCGUAAGCGAAGCUCUUGAUCGAAGCCCCAGUAAACGGCGGCCGUAACUAUAACGGUCCUAAGGUAGCGAAAUUCCUUGUCGGGUAAGUUCCGACCUGCACGAAUGGCAUAAUGAUGGCGGCGCUGUCUCCAGCAGAGGCUCAGUGAAAUCGAAAUCGCUGUGAAGAUGCAGUGUACCCGCGGCUAGACGGAAAGACCCCGUGAACCUUUACUGCAGCUUGACACUGAACUUUGACCUUACUUGUGUAGGAUAGGUGGGAGGCUUUGAAGCUGGAACGCUAGUUCCAGUGGAGCCGUCCUUGAAAUACCACCCUGGUAAUGUUGAGGUUCUAACUCUGUCCCGUGAUCCGGGACGAGGACCGUGUCUGGUGGGUAGUUUGACUGGGGCGGUCUCCUCCUAAAGAGUAACGGAGGAGUACGAAGGUGCGCUCAGCGUGGUCGGAAAUCACGCGUAGAGUAUAAAGGCAAAAGCGCGCUUAACUGCGAGACCCACAAGUCGAGCAGGUACGAAAGUAGGUCUUAGUGAUCCGGUGGUUCUGUAUGGAAGGGCCAUCGCUCAACGGAUAAAAGGUACUCUGGGGAUAACAGGCUGAUACCGCCCAAGAGUUCAUAUCGACGGCGGUGUUUGGCACCUCGAUGUCGGCUCAUCUCAUCCUGGGGCUGAAGCAGGUCCCAAGGGUAUGGCUGUUCGCCAUUUAAAGAGGUACGCGAGCUGGGUUUAGAACGUCGUGAGACAGUUCGGUCCCUAUCUACCGUGGGCGCUGGAAAUUUGAGAGGAUCUGCUCCUAGUACGAGAGGACCAGAGUGGACGAACCUCUGGUGUACCGGUUGUGACGCCAGUCGCAUCGCCGGGUAGCUAUGUUCGGAAGGGAUAACCGCUGAAAGCAUCUAAGCGGGAAGCCUACCUCAAGAUAAGAUUUCCCUAGGACUUUAUGUCCUCUAAAGAGCCGUUCGAGACUAGGACGUUGAUAGGUUGGAUGUGGAAGCAUAGUGAUAUGUGAAGCUGACCAAUACUAAUUGCUCGUGAGGCUUGACUAUACAACACCCAAGCAGUUG
RNAcentral lists this ribosomal RNA (2919 nucleotides) under Acinetobacter baumannii. RNAcentral's name for it is "23S ribosomal RNA". It matches the Rfam family "Bacterial large subunit ribosomal RNA". The record is from RNAcentral. Lineage: Bacteria; Pseudomonadati; Pseudomonadota; Gammaproteobacteria; Moraxellales; Moraxellaceae.